GCCUACCAUGGUUUUAACGGGUAACGGGGAAUUAGGGUUCGAUUCCGGAGAGGGAGCCUGAGAAACGGCUACCACAUCCAAGGAAGGCAGCAGGCGCGCAAAUUACCCAAUCCCGACACGGGGAGGUAGUGACAAUAAAUAACAAUACAGGGCUCUUUAGGGUCUUGUAAUUGGAAUGAGUACAAUUUAAAUCCCUUAACGAGGAACAAUUGGAGGGCAAGUCUGGUGCCAGCAGCCGCGGUAAUUCCAGCUCCAAUAGCGUAUAUUAAAGUUGUUGCAGUUAAAAAGCUCGUAGUUGAAUUUCGGGGUUCUACCGUUGGUCGGGCUUUGUCUGUACUGGCGUGUAGAAUUUCUACCUUCUGGGGAACCAUUAUGUUAUUAAUUUAGUGUAGUGGGAAACCAGGACCUUUACCUUGAAAAAAUUAGAGUGUUCAAAGCAGGCUUAUGUCUGAAUACAUUAGCAUGGAAUAAUAGAAUAGGACGGUGGUCCUGUUUUGUUGGUUUCUGAAUCACCGUAAUGAUUAAUA
This 527-nucleotide ribosomal RNA is filed under the name uncultured Cetraspora. RNAcentral describes it as "SSU rRNA". It matches the Rfam family "Eukaryotic small subunit ribosomal RNA", at positions 339 to 874 of the family's 1831-position model. The record is from RNAcentral. Lineage: Eukaryota; Fungi; Glomeromycota; Glomeromycetes; Diversisporales; Gigasporaceae.